Molecule: long non-coding RNA, 1637 nt
Organism: Dermacentor silvarum
Lineage: Eukaryota; Metazoa; Arthropoda; Arachnida; Ixodida; Ixodidae
Exons: 3
Source: RefSeq, a predicted model, not a curated record
GACUGCUCGUUCGUGUGCCCUUGCUGUGUGAAGAUGUUUGCGUUUGUGCAAUAUAAAUUCGAUGGCAAGACGGCUGUCGUGAAGCUCUCCGCUAUAAAGGAUUUCACUCCUAAAAACGUUACCGAUUUUGAGUCUACUGGCCUGGGGACGAAGACACCAUCGGCGAUUUUUAUGAAGCGCGGAUCCUGCAUCUCGCUGAAUCUGAGGAAGAGAUGGAGGCAUAGAAGGAAAAGCGUCCCAGGAAGGUUUUGGUGGACUUGCCACGAGGAAAGAAAAGGAGCAAGGAAAUGAAAGCCGAGUUGUCUAUGCCACAUCGUUUGAUGUGUCAGUGCGAGCUCAACAGUACCCUGUGACACCUCCGAAUAUUAGAGGCAAGUUCUACCUUCUGCUGUGUGAUCUAGUUUGAUGUUUAUUACUAGCACUAUCUUGUUUUGUGCAGUUUGUGCAGUAAGGUGUUUCGAAAUAGAACAAAGGAUGACUAAAAAAACAUCUUUUCUGUAUUUGAUGUACAGUAAGGACUGUUAUGUGUUAUAUUGGACUGACAUUCCAACAGGAGUGCUUGUAUAGCAUGCAAUGAUUGCCGUUUAGAAGCAUCAGUCAUCCUUAUUUUAUACCCGGUACAUAGGUACUGUUAAAGGAGCCCUGAAAACUUUUUAUCGAAAUCGAGAAAUGCGCUUGAAGUCACAAUAGACUAUAUCAUAAAUACUUUGCAGCAAAAAGUGCUUCAAUGCGUUCAGCAGAAGCGAAGUUAUCAGCAGCCAAAAAUCGCCUUUAAUCCCCUUCGUGGUGCUCAGGCUCCUUCAAUGCCGUGCACUGUAAAGGCUAUGCCAAGCACGCUUGUCCUCAGUGAGGCGCAGUGAGCUGAGCGAGUGGGCUCAUUGCGGCACCCAAGGGCAACUGUGGUAUUUUUUAUGUGUAGCAGAUGCAGCCACUUGUAGUGGUAAUGCAUCUGCACAGCAUUUGUCUGUGCGCAAUAGGGCUUGAGUGCAUGCUUGGGCUCAUGUGCUCCAAUCUGCCUAAGUUACGCAGUGUGGACCAGCUUUGGCCUGAACCAGCUUGACCGAAGGAUAGUACCACAUCCAAUUUGCGCAUUUUGAGGCAAUAUCGAUAGCUCAGUAUGAAGUGAUGUCUGCCAAGGCAUCUAACCAGGAGUGAGCACGUGCUGGCAAAUGUACGUGGGGUCUGACCUUAAGUUUCACAUAGUUCAAGGCUAGUUGAAUGUUCAAAACAAAUUGAAAUAAUGAGACCGAAUGGCUACAACACCGAUAAGAAGUGUGGUCAGUUUAAUUUCUACGCUGCACAAGAACAGACAAUAGUAGGCUUCCUGAAAUACGUAAAUUCGAAAGCAUAUUUUUGCUAACUUCAGCUUGUUUAUUAAACAGUAUUAAUAAAUAUACACAGUAACAAUAGGAAGAAUUACACUGAUCCAAACACCCUUCUCGAUUGAUGUCAGCUAUUGGCCAAUAGCAGCCCUCUAUUGGAAUAUGCUAUAUGACGAAAUGUAGCACCCGCAAAGAGAGAGAAGGCUUCUGUUGAAAAGAGUGUUUCAAAAAAAGGUGAAUUCAUGCUCCGCUUGUGAGCUCCAUGUGCACAACUGCGAAAUUUGACAGACAUUCACAGCAGCGUAUGCGAUCUGG